CAUUCCUCUUAUCAAUAAUAGACUCUAAAACAGAAAAGCACAUGCUGUAAUUUAAGAACUAUUUGUUAAUAAUCACUAAAACGUACAUAAUAUUUGACCAUUCCAGAUGUUCUUUUACAUUGAUCUUAUUCCAAAUUUCCAAUCCAUAGACUUGAGUUGUAACAUAUUAACUGGACCUAUUCCUCUUAUACUGAUGUUCACAUGACACCAUACUCCAAAUUAAACAAAAAAGGAUCAAACACAUAAACUAAAAAUAUUCAGAUAUAUAAAUCCCCUCAAAGUAGAAUACAUGAAACAAAAUAGGAACGAUAAUAUAAAAAAAUAUGCAGGAAAAUAAAUACGUAAAAAAAUAUGCAGGAAAAUAAAUAAGUCUGGAAAGUACAACAAACAAUUUCAAGUCUUAUCCCACUAAGUGGAGAUGGCUACAUGGAUCAAAAGACACCAUGAAUAAGUCUAGCGAGUAGAAAUGAGCAAAAGUGUUCUUGUUAUAAUCCAUCAAUACUUUGCAGACCGUCCUUAUUCUAAUCUUCUUAGAAAAACUCAUGCAUCCUUCACCAAGUUUUUUCUGCAACCCAACAUCUACUUGUGUUCACUGAUGUGGUGGGUCUUCA
Molecule: long non-coding RNA, 611 nt
Filed under: Medicago truncatula (barrel medic)
Lineage: Eukaryota; Viridiplantae; Streptophyta; Magnoliopsida; Fabales; Fabaceae
Description: long non-coding RNA (MTRU_LNC000090)
Source: RNAcentral